AUACGGAGGGUGCAAGCGUUACUCGGAAUCGCUGGGCGUAAAGGACGCGUAGGCGGAUUGGAAAGUCAGAUGUGAAAUCCUACAGCUUAACUGUAGAACUGCAUUUGAAACUUCUAAUCUAGAGUAUGGGAGGGGGAGAUGGAAUUAGUGGUGUAGGGGUAAAAUCCGUAGAUAUCACUAGGAAUACCGAAAGCGAAGGCGAUCUCCUGGAACAUAACUGACGCUAAGGCGUGAAAGCGUGGGGAGCAAACGGGAUUAGAAACCCUAGUAGUCC
This 274-nucleotide ribosomal RNA is filed under the name uncultured bacterium. Its description in RNAcentral is "partial 16S ribosomal RNA". It matches the Rfam family "Bacterial small subunit ribosomal RNA", at positions 523 to 796 of the family's 1533-position model. The record is from RNAcentral.